Molecule: ribosomal RNA, 253 nt
Filed under: uncultured bacterium
Lineage: Bacteria
Description: partial 16S ribosomal RNA
Rfam family: Bacterial small subunit ribosomal RNA
Source: RNAcentral
GACGAACCGUGCGAACGUUGUUCGGAAUCACUGGGCUUAAAGGGAGCGUAGGCGGGCUAACAAGUCUGGGGUGAAAUGCCGCGGCUCAACCGUGGAACUGCCUCAGAUACUGUCGGCCUCGAGGGAGAUAGGGGCAUGCGGAACUAACGGUGGAGCGGCGAAAUGCGUUGAUAUCGUUAGGAACUCCGGUGGCGAAAGCGGCGUGCUGGAUCUCUUCUGACGCUGAGGCUCGAAAGCUAGGGGAGCAAACGGG